This 274-nucleotide ribosomal RNA is filed under the name uncultured bacterium. RNAcentral's name for it is "partial 16S ribosomal RNA". It matches the Rfam family "Bacterial small subunit ribosomal RNA", at positions 523 to 796 of the family's 1533-position model. The record is from RNAcentral.
AUACGAAGGGGGCUAGCGUUGUUCGGAAUCACUGGGCGUAAAGCGCGCGUAGGUGGAUCAAUUAGUUGAGGGUGAAAUCCCGGGGCUCAACCUCGGAACUGCCUUCAAUACUGUUGAUCUUGAGACCGAGAGAGGUGAGUGGAAUUCCUAGUGUAGAGGUGAAAUUCGUAGAUAUUAGGAAGAACACCAGUGGCGAAGGCGGCUCACUGGCUCGGUACUGACGCUGAGGUGUGAAAGCGUGGGGAGCAAACAGGAUUAGAAACCCGAGUAGUCC